UGAACCUUAGUUUCAGCCCUGGAGCCCUUGAGAGAGCUCUGCUGUUGGUUAGUAAUUACCGUGAAAGUAUUCAGCUUCUUCAUUACAAGGACAGAAAGUGGGUUGUUAUGAGGAUUCAAUGAGGAGACCUGUAUGAAGUGCCUUCCCCUGUGCCUGGCUCAUAGGUACAGGUUACCUUCAGCGCCAUGGCCUUUUCAUCAAGGUUCGCCUUCUGGGAGCAAAAGGAAAGUUGGAUUUUAAAAUCUUUAUGUUUUUCCUGUG
RNAcentral lists this small RNA (261 nucleotides) under Pan troglodytes (chimpanzee). RNAcentral describes it as "processed transcript". The record is from RNAcentral. Lineage: Eukaryota; Metazoa; Chordata; Mammalia; Primates; Hominidae.